This 474-nucleotide ribosomal RNA is filed under the name uncultured organism. RNAcentral describes it as "partial 16S ribosomal RNA". It matches the Rfam family "Bacterial small subunit ribosomal RNA", at positions 331 to 797 of the family's 1533-position model. The record is from RNAcentral.
GUACACUCCUACGGGAGGCAGCAGUGGGGAAUAUUGCACAAUGGGCGCAAGCCUGAUGCAGCCAUGCCGCGUGUAUGAAGAAGGCCUUCGGGUUGUAAAGUACUUUCAGCGGGGAGGAAGGCGAUAAGGUUAAUAACCUUGUUGAUUGACGUUACCCGCAGAAGAAGCACCGGCUAACUCCGUGCCAGCAGCCGCGGUAAUACGGAGGGUGCAAGCGUUAAUCGGAAUUACUGGGCGUAAAGCGCACGCAGGCGGUCUGUCAAGUCGGAUGUGAAAUCCCCGGGCUCAACCUGGGAACUGCAUUCGAAACUGGCAGGCUAGAGUCUUGUAGAGGGGGGUAGAAUUCCAGGUGUAGCGGUGAAAUGCGUAGAGAUCUGGAGGAAUACCGGUGGCGAAGGCGGCCCCCUGGACAAAGACUGACGCUCAGGUGCGAAAGCGUGGGGAGCAAACAGGAUUAGAUACCCGGGUAGUCCC